UUUUUUCUUUCCAAUGCCCCUUGGCAAUCAUUAUUCCAACUGACCGUUUGAUCUCUUUCUCUUUUUUAGGUUCAGGCGUUUCUUGUAUUGCUUUUUUUUUACUCUUCUUUUCUCUUUUCCUUUUUGUUUUUUUUUUUUGUUUUUUUUUUUAGCAGGACCAACCUCGAUUCCUUUUAUUUGCUCACAACAAGCCUCAGCACUUUACCGGACCUCACUCUACAAGUGCACUGAUUCGAACUCAACAGUAUGAGUUACCUCAACCGGUCAAACAACUUGCUCCGGUUUACCGGAUGCCCCUCUCCUGUUUGGGACUUUGUCAUCAUGUCUUCAACAUGGCAUUCACUUU
RNAcentral lists this long non-coding RNA (346 nucleotides) under Lathyrus oleraceus (garden pea). RNAcentral's name for it is "Pisum sativum (pea) long non-coding RNA (PSAT_LNC008191)". Lineage: Eukaryota; Viridiplantae; Streptophyta; Magnoliopsida; Fabales; Fabaceae. The record is from RNAcentral.